RNAcentral lists this ribosomal RNA (408 nucleotides) under uncultured bacterium. RNAcentral describes it as "bacterial SSU rRNA". It matches the Rfam family "Bacterial small subunit ribosomal RNA", at positions 42 to 452 of the family's 1533-position model. The record is from RNAcentral.
UCAGGCCUAACACAUGCAAGUCGUACGAGGUGUAAAUAAUUCACUUGUGAAUUGUUUAUUACUACAGUGGCGCACGGGUGAGUAACACGUAAGAACCUGCCUUUUGGAGGGGGAUAACAUAGGGAAACCUUUGCUAAUACCCCAUAAAGCUGAGGAGCUAAAUCGCAUUUGCGGCCAAGAGAGGGGCUUGCGCCUGAUUAGCUAGUUGGGGAGGUAAUGGCUUCCCAAGGCCACGAACAGUAGUUGGUCUGAGAGGAUGAUCAGCCACACUGGGACUGAGACACGGCCCAGACUCCUACGGGAGGCAGCAGUGAGGAAUUUUCCGCAAUGGGCGAAAGCCUGACGGAGCAAUACCGCGUGAAGGAAGAAGGAUCGUGGCCUGUAAACUUCUUUUCUCGAGAAGAAGAU